UCGAGAAUUUUUCUCAAUGGGCGAAAGCCUGAAGGAGCGACGCCGCGUGAGGGAUGAAGGGCUUCGGCCUGUAAACCUCUGUCAUUUGCGAACAAACCUUACUCGUGAAUAACGGGUGAGCUGAUAGUAGCGAAAGAGGAAGGGACGGCUAACUCUGUGCCAGCAGCCGCGGUAAUACAGAGGUCCCAAGCGUUGUUCGGAUUCACUGGGCGUAAAGGGUGCGCAGGUGGCCGCGCAAGUUCGAUGUGAAAGCCCCGGGCUUAACCCGGGAAUGGCAUUGAAAACUGCGUGGCUGGAGGAUCGGAGGGGGGACUGGAAUUCUUGGUGUAGCAGUGAAAUGCGUAGAUAUCAAGAGGAACACCAGUGGCGAAGGCGAGUCCCUGGACGAUACCUGACACUGAGGCACGAAAGCCAAGGGAGCAAACAGG
This 428-nucleotide ribosomal RNA is filed under the name uncultured bacterium. Its description in RNAcentral is "bacterial SSU rRNA". It matches the Rfam family "Bacterial small subunit ribosomal RNA", at positions 355 to 776 of the family's 1533-position model. The record is from RNAcentral.